UACAGAGGACUCAAGCGUUGUUCGGAUUCAUUGGGCGUAAAGGGUGCGUAGGUGGCGCUGUAAGUCAGGUGUGAAAUUUCGGAGCUCAACUUCGAAACUGCAUUUGAUACUGCGGUGCUUGAGGACUGGAGAGGAGACUGGAAUUUACGGUGUAGCAGUGAAAUGCGUAGAGAUCGUAAGGAAGACCAGUGGCGAAGGCGGGUCUCUGGACAGUUCCUGACACUGAGGCACGAAGGCCAGGGGAGCAAACGGG
Molecule: ribosomal RNA, 253 nt
Filed under: uncultured bacterium
Lineage: Bacteria
Description: partial 16S ribosomal RNA
Rfam family: Bacterial small subunit ribosomal RNA
Source: RNAcentral